UCUCAGACUGCUGUGCUAGCAAUCAGCGAGACUCCGUGGGCGUAGGACCCUACGAGCCAGGUGUGGGAUGUAAUCUCAUGGUGAGCCAUUUUUUUAAGCCGGUCUGAAAAGCGCAAUAUUCGGGUGGGAGUGACCUGAUUUUCCAGAGCUGGUAUACGAUGCCUCUCCAGAAUCACCUUGUUCUUUCUGGAUCUAUUCAGAAUCUGAAACUCCUAGAAAAGAAAAAUGCAAGAUGCAUGAGAUAUGUUCCUGACAAAAAAGGAAAAGAGAAUGAGGUGGAAUUCUGCUCCAGUGAUGUAGUGUCCAAUAACGCAAACCUGGGUAGGUGGGAGCAUUUCUCUCUUGGUCUUGGGAAUGACUAUCAACACCAUAUUAAUUUUUUUCUGGCUCUUGCCCUCACCCAGAAAUAUGAAGGAUUUACUUUACUGGAAUAACUAGUGCUUUUCCUUUGUACCUCCAAUAGUUAACAUCAGAAUGCUAUUUAAUAUUGACAGUGACAUCUUCGUUUGGUCCACUGUGAAGUCUACAAAGGCAUCUACAACUGCAUGGAAGAUUGCAUUAGGAAGGUAUCCUAGAAAGGCAGUAAGGAACAUAAGCUAAGUAGCUAAGUGCAUCAUAUAUCUUACGUUGUUUAAUCCUCAGGUUCAUACUUUUAUUUUCCCCAUUUUACUGACACAUACUUUAAUGCUUAAACAGGCUAAGUAUCUUGCUUAAGGUCAUAUAAUGUAAUUUUAAGUUGUAGAAUCUAGUUUUUAAUGCAGAUCUAAUUUUUACCUCUAUUACUAACUACCUUUUUUUUUUUUUUUUUUUUAAAAAGCAACAGUAUUAUAAUUGGGAGCUGCAUUCCUGAUUUAAGAUUUAGAAUUAAAUAGCCAUGGAUAUAAUCUUUGCUGCCAAAACAUAAAAAUACAGCAGCAAAGACAUCUAAAAUAAUUGAAAAUAUUAUUUUAUUUUGUGUUAUCUGAAAUAUGUUUAUAUUGUACACAUAAGUCUCCAACAUGUCAUUAAAGGUACAUAUUUCACAUAAUAAUUCAACUUCACAAUAUAUUUAACCUGUCAUCAACCCACUAACUCCAGUGAAUGUCAGUUGAACAUUUGAGUCACAAUAAUUUUGCUCACUUUUGAAAAAAUGUUAAGGCCUUUUUUUGGAAAUGAUUUGAGUGGUCCAGUACUGUUUUAAAAGCAGUCUGGGGAAUUCUGAGCUGACACUUUCCCUUUAGCUUUAUAAAUUUUCCUGUAGCAAGCAGAGGUCCUCUAAGUUAUUUGCUUGAUCCUAGAUUGUGCUCCAAGUUGAGAUCAUACUUUUCCAAAAUAGCAAUUGGACAUCUAAAGGUUUGAAGGUCUGGCUGAAGAUUUAAAUGAUGAGAAUCUAGUAGAAGAGACAUCCUUCGAAACUUACUCACUUUUAAAAUCUUUCGUUCUUUGCUUUCCAAUAUGUCUCUUUUAGUUCCUCUCCCACACCAACUGCUCAUUUAAAUAAGUCACAAAAGUUGAGUAUGAGAGUAUGAAUGGGGAAGUUAUAUGAAGGCAGAUUUUAUGAAUAUGAGCUUUCUCUUAGACCAACUGGCAACCUCUCAGCUAAUUUUCCUUUGCUUUCCCAAGCAAUUGCCCAACAUAACUCAUGUUGUCUGUAACACACCAAGAAAUGGGCAGGCAAAGUUUAUAAAACAUGGAGAUAUACAGGAUAGUAGAGAGUGGAGAAAUAUUAGUAUUCAAAAUAUACCAAAUGUGGAAGUGAGUUAGCUACCACAAUUGAGAACCAGGUAAGUUUCCUAAAAGCAAGUAAAGAAGAAAUUGUUUUCUUCUCGGAUGUCAUGACACCACUGUCCUGUUUUUCAUUUGCCUCUCAGGCCACUACUUCUUGUUAUCUUUGCAUUCUUCCCCUUAAUCUGGCCUCUAAAUGUAGGAGCUCUUAGGACUUUGGCCUGGGCUUUUUUUUUUUUUCCAAUUUACAUUACACUUACUUUAUUAGAAAAUCUUGCCCUCUAACAAACUCUUACAUAUCAUUUAUAUGCCAAUAAGUUAAGCAUUUUUUUUCUAUCUCUACCUUGAGUUUCUCUUCUAAGUUUCAGAUCUAUAUAUACAACUGCUGACUUGAUAGCCCCACCCAGAUACCUCACAAGCAUCUCAAACUCAACAUGUUUGAAACUUUAAUCAGCUCCCUUUGAUUUGUGCUAUGUUAAUAAAUGCUAACUCUAUCCACCUAGUUGCUUGUGCCAGGAUCCCAGGAGUCAUUCUUUUUAUUUAUUUCCUCUUUUAAAUCUGUAAUUUAAAGUUUAUUUUAGCUAUAAUGCAUGCUUCUCUGGCAUGCUUCGGAGUCCAUUGCUAAGAUAUUCUGUUGUGCUCAUCUGUCUGAUUUAUGGAUCUAUGCGAUUUCUGGCACUAGGACAUCAUCUGAGUUUGGGCUAUAUAGCAGUGACAAAAUGAGUAGAAUAACUUUAGAAACAAUAAAAGCAAGAGACCACUGUGAUUCUAAGAUGAAUGCUCCCAUUAUUAUUUAAUGUUUGAGUGAUAUAUUAGAAUCAUUCACAUUUAAAUAUUAUUUAAAAUUUAAUAUUAUGCCAAUAUUUGGAUGAUGAAUUCCAGUUAUAAUGCAACAUUGUGUCAAAAAGAAUAUACUGCCUUGAUAAGGGCUGUCAUUAGGGCCUAUAAUUGUGGUUUGCCAAUCUGUAACAGGCCAAAUGUUUAAUUUCCUUAUCGGUGGUUUUAGUGCCAUGAUCCAUGCUUUUUCUCUGAUUUUUCACCUUCCCAGUGUUGAUGUCUGACCAAACUCCAGGGUAGUGGAAAGAGUGUCCUUUUGCCUCAUAUCACCUUUGCUGAACACAGGUGCUAAAUGGAUGGCAGGUUGAGAGUUGAGACAGGAUCUCACUAUGUUGCCUUGCAUGGACUGGAACUCCUUGGCUCAAGAAAUCUUCUUGCCUCAGCCUCCCAAAUAGCUAGGACUAUAUGCACAUGCUACUACACCUAGUGGAAAAUGAAGCACAGAGAAGUUCAGUGAUGGACCUCAGAUACUACCAGCAGAAAGCAGAAGAGCUAGGAUUUCAACUUAGGAUGUCUGGAUCCACAGUCUGCACUCCUACCCACUAUGCUACACUGCCUCUAACUAUGAGGAAGCAAGGGCAUUUUUUUUUUUCUGGUGACUAAAAAGAUAAGAGUUCAAGUAUGUGGCUCCUGAUAAUCUAACUUAUACAGCCUGGAAAAAUUGAUAGUUACUAUAUCCAGACUGUCUCAUUCAAUUAACAGUUUCUCAAGUAAUCUUCUAGUUACUGUCGUAUUUUAUCUGUAUCAACUUAGCAAACCAAGUCCAAAACAUUUUAUAUGUGUCUAUCUUUCCUGCUGUUCAUAUUAUUGAGUUAGCCAAAUAAAUUCAAUUUUUUUUCUACUGUUUGUUUCUCACAAA
This 3400-nucleotide long non-coding RNA is filed under the name Homo sapiens (human). Its description in RNAcentral is "HSALNT0320316". Lineage: Eukaryota; Metazoa; Chordata; Mammalia; Primates; Hominidae. The record is from RNAcentral.